Callorhinus ursinus (northern fur seal) is the source of this 2037-nucleotide non-coding RNA. The record is from RefSeq and is a predicted model, not a curated record. Lineage: Eukaryota; Metazoa; Chordata; Mammalia; Carnivora; Otariidae.
CCAAAACUCUCCAGAUGUCUUCCAAUAAUGAUCAAGUUUUUAUCCCAAUGUCACGAAGAAACACCACUGACCUCUCCAGGAUGACCUCCAACAACCCGAAGACAUUUACUGAAGUAGCCGUGUUAAGUUUUCAUAACAUUUGCUAUCGAGUAAAAGUGAAGAGUGGCUUUCUUCUUGGUCGAAAAACAGUUGAGAAAGAAAUGCUGACAAAUGUCAAUGGCAUCAUGAGACCUGGCCUCAAUGCCAUUCUGGGACCCACAGGUGGCGGCAAAUCUUCGUUGUUAGAUAUCUUAGCUGCAAGGAAAGAUCCGAAUGGAUUAUCUGGAGAUGUUUUGAUAAAUGGAGCACCUCGACCUGCCAAUUUCAAAUGUAAUUCAGGUUAUGUGGUACAAGAUGAUGUCGUGAUGGGAACUCUGACAGUGAGAGAAAAUUUACAGUUCUCAGCAGCUCUCCGGCUUCCGACAACUAUGACAAAGCAUGAAAAAAAUGAGCAAAUUAACAAGGUCAUUCAGCAGUUAGGUCUGGAUAAAGUGGCAGAUUCCAAGGUUGGAACUCAAUUUAUACGUGGUGGGUCUGGAGGAGAAAGAAAAAGGACUAGUAUUGGAAUGGAGCUUAUUACCGAUCCAGCCAUCUUGUUCCUGGAUGAGCCCACAACUGGCUUAGACUCAAGCACGGCAAAUGCUGUUCUUUUGCUCCUGAAGAGGAUGUCUGAACAGGGACGAACAAUCAUCUUCUCCAUUCAUCAGCCUCGUUAUUCUAUCUUCAAGUUGUUUGAUAGCCUCACCUUGUUGGCCUCAGGAAGACUAAUGUUCCAUGGGCCUGCCCAGGAGGCCUUGGGGUACUUUGCAUCAGUGGGUUACCAUUGUGAGCCUUAUAAUAACCCCGCAGACUUCUUCCUGGAUGUCAUUAGUGGAGACUCCUCUGCUAUGAUAUUAAACAGAGAGGACCAAGACGGUGAAGUCAAGGAGACUGAAGAGCCUUCCAAGAGAAGAUCUCCACUCAUAGAAAAAAUAGCUGAGUUUUAUGGCAACUCUGACUUUUGCAGAAAAACGAAAGAUGAGUUAGAUCGACUUGUAAAGGGUCAUAAGAGGAAGAGCUCAACCUUUAAGGAGAUCACCUAUGCCACCUCCUUCUGUCAUCAACUCAGAUGGAUUUCCAAGCGUUCAUUCAAAAACUUACUGGGCAAUCCCCAGGCCUCUAUAGCUCAGAUAAUUGUAACAGUCAUCCUGGGAUUGGUUAUUGGUGCUAUUUUCUAUGAUCUAAAAAAUGAUCCUACAGGAAUCCAGAAUAGAUCAGGAGUGCUCUUCUUCCUGACAACCAACCAGUGUUUCAGCAGUGUGUCAGCUGUGGAGCUCUUUGUGGUUGAAAAGAAGCUCUUUAUACAUGAAUAUAUCAGUGGAUACUACAGAGUGUCAUCUUAUUUCUUUGGAAAACUGUUAUCUGAUUUAUUACCCACGAGGAUGUUACCAAGUAUUAUAUUUACUUGUAUAAUAUACUUCUUGUUAGGCUUGAAACCAGUUGUGGAGGCCUUCUUCAUCAUGAUGUUUACCCUUAUGAUGGUGGCUUAUUCGGCCAGUUCUAUGGCACUGGCCAUAGCAGCAGGCCAGAGUGUGGUAUCCAUAGCAACACUUCUCAUGACCAUCUCCUUUGUGUUUAUGAUGAUAUUUUCAGGGCUGUUGGUAAAUCUCAGAACUGUUGGGCCUUGGCUCUCCUGGCUUCAGUACUUCAGCAUUCCUCGAUAUGGCUAUGUGGCUUUGCAGCAUAAUGAAUUUUUGGGACAAAACUUCUGCCCAGGAGUCAAUGUAACAGCGAAUAAUACCUGUAGCUAUGCAAUAUGUACUGGCGAAGAAUUUUUGCUAAACCAGGGCAUCGAUCUCUCCCCUUGGGGCCUGUGGAAGAAUCACGUAGCCUUGGCAUGUAUGAUUAUCUUCCUUAUAAUUGCCUACCUAAAAUUGUUAUUUCUUAAAAAAUAUUCUUAAAUUCCUCUUUAAUUUACAUGAUUGAUCCACACAUUAAAAAGGGAGGAUCUUGAUUUUU